This 253-nucleotide ribosomal RNA is filed under the name uncultured bacterium. RNAcentral's name for it is "partial 16S ribosomal RNA". It matches the Rfam family "Bacterial small subunit ribosomal RNA", at positions 524 to 776 of the family's 1533-position model. The record is from RNAcentral.
UACGGGGGGGGCAAGCGUUGUUCGGAAUUACUGGGCGUAAAGCGUGCGUAGGCGGUUAUCUAAGUCGGAUGUGAAAGCCCCGGGCUCAACCUGGGAACUGCGUCUGAUACUGGAUGGCUUGAAUCCGGGAGAGGGAUGCAGAAUUCCAGGUGUAGCGGUGAAAUGCGUAGAUAUCUGGAGGAAUACCGGUGGCGAAGGCGGCAUCCUGGACCGGCAUUGACGCUGAGGAGCGAAAGCCAGGGGAGCAAACGGG